RNAcentral lists this ribosomal RNA (1017 nucleotides) under uncultured bacterium. RNAcentral's name for it is "bacterial SSU rRNA". It matches the Rfam family "Bacterial small subunit ribosomal RNA", at positions 355 to 1375 of the family's 1533-position model. The record is from RNAcentral.
UGAGGAAUAUUGGUCAAUGGGCGAGAGCCUGAACCAGCCAAGUAGCGUGAAGGAUGACUGCCCUAUGAGUUGUAAACUUCUUUUAUAAAGGAAUAAAGUCGGGUAUGCAUACCCGUUUGCAUGUACUUUAUGAAUAAGGAUCGGCUAACUCCGUGCCAGCAGCCGCGGUAAUACGGAGGAUCCGAGCGUUAUCCGGAUUUAUUGGGUUUAAAGGGAGCGUAGAUGGAUGUUUAAGUCAGUUGUGAAAGUUUGCGGCUCAACCGUAAAAUUGCAGUUGAUACUGGAUAUCUUGAGUGCAGUUGAGGCAGGCGGAAUUCGUGGUGUAGCGGUGAAAUGCUUAGAUAUCACGAAGAACUCCGAUUGCGAAGGCAGCCUGCUAAGCUGCAACUGACAUUGAGGCUCGAAAGUGUGGGUAUCAAACAGGAUUAGAUACCCUGGUAGUCCACACGGUAAACGAUGAAUACUCGCUGUUUGCGAUAUACAGCAAGCGGCCAAGCGAAAGCGUUAAGUAUUCCACCUGGGGAGUACGCCGGCAACGGUGAAACUCAAAGGAAUUGACGGGGGCCCGCACAAGCGGAGGAACAUGUGGUUUAAUUCGAUGAUACGCGAGGAACCUUACCCGGGCUUAAAUUGCAGAUGAAUUACGGUGAAAGCCGUAAGCCGCAAGGCAUCUGUGAAGGUGCUGCAUGGUUGUCGUCAGCUCGUGCCGUGAGGUGUCGGCUUAAGUGCCAUAACGAGCGCAACCCUUGUUGUCAGUUACUAACAGGUUCCGCUGAGGACUCUGACAAGACUGCCAUCGUAAGAUGUGAGGAAGGUGGGGAUGACGUCAAAUCAGCACGGCCCUUACGUCCGGGGCUACACACGUGUUACAAUGGGGGGUACAGAGGGCCGCUACCACGCGAGUGGAUGCCAAUCCCCAAAACCUCUCUCAGUUCGGACUGGAGUCUGCAACCCGACUCCACGAAGCUGGAUUCGCUAGUAAUCGCGCAUCAGCCACGGCGCGGUGAAUACGUUCCC